CCUACGGGUGGCAGCAGUGAGGAAUAUUGGUCAAUGGGCGCGAGCCUGAACCAGCCAAGUAGCGUGAAGGAUGACUGCCCUCCGGGUUGUAAACUUCUUUUAUAAAGGAAUACAGUGAGGCACGUGUGCCUUUUUGUAUGUACUUUAUGAAUAAGGAUCGGGAAACUCCGUACCAGCAGCCGCGGUAAUACGGGGGAUGCGAGCGUUAUCCGGAUUCAUUGGGGUUAACGGGUGCGCGGGCGGGCCUUUAAGCCGGCGGUGAAAUCGCGGGGCCAAACCCCGCCGAGCCGUCGGAACUGGGGGCCUUGAGUGCGGCGGAGGCAAGGGGAAUGCGCGGUGUAGCGGUGAAAUGCAUAGAUAUCGGGAAGAACCCCGGUGGCGAAGGCGGCGUGCCGUGCCGCAACUGACGCUGAGGCACGAAAGCGUGGGGAGCGAACAGGAUUAGAUACCCUGGUAGUC
Molecule: ribosomal RNA, 459 nt
Filed under: uncultured bacterium
Lineage: Bacteria
Description: partial 16S ribosomal RNA
Rfam family: Bacterial small subunit ribosomal RNA
Source: RNAcentral